CAAAAGCUUAAAAUUUAAAAGACUUGACGGUACUUCACAACAGCCUAGAGGAGCCUGUCCAAUAACCGAUAAUCCACGAUCAACCCAACCACCACUAGCCACACAGUCUAUAUACCGCCGUCGCCAGCCUACCUUGUGAAAGCAAAAAAGUAAGCACAACAGCACAUAACGCUAACACGACAGGUCGAGGUGUAACUAAUGAGGUGGACAAGAUGGGCUACAUUUUCUAACACAGAACAAACGGAUAUACCAUGAAACUGGAAACUGAAGGAGGAUUUAGCAGUAAGAUAAGAACAACACACUCAACUGAAAAUAGCAAUGAAGUGCGU
RNAcentral lists this ribosomal RNA (329 nucleotides) under Rhamphiophis oxyrhynchus. Its description in RNAcentral is "partial 12S ribosomal RNA". The record is from RNAcentral. Lineage: Eukaryota; Metazoa; Chordata; Lepidosauria; Squamata.